This 497-nucleotide ribosomal RNA is filed under the name uncultured bacterium. RNAcentral's name for it is "partial 16S ribosomal RNA". It matches the Rfam family "Bacterial small subunit ribosomal RNA", at positions 28 to 507 of the family's 1533-position model. The record is from RNAcentral.
GAUGAACGCUGGCGGCGUGCCUAAUACAUGCAAGUCGAGCGAACGGACGAGAAGCUUGCUUCUCUGAUGUUAGCGGCGGACGGGUGAGUAACACGUGGAUAACCUACCUAUAAGACUGGGAUAACCUCGGGAAACCGGAGCUAAUACCGGAUAAUAUUUUGAACCGCAUGGUUCAAAAGUGAAAGACGGUCUUGCUGUCACUUAUAGAUGGAUCCGCGCUGCAUUAGCUAGUUGGUAAGGUAACGGCUUACCAAGGCAACGAUGCAUAGCCGACCUGAGAGGGGGAUCGGCGACCUUGGAGGGGAGACACGGUCCAGACGCCUACGGGAGGCAGCAGUAGGGAAUCUGCCGCAGUGGGCGAAAGCCUGACGGAGCAACGCCGCGUGAGUGAUGAAGGUCUUCGGAUCGUAAAACUCUGUUAUUAGGGAAGAACAUAUGUGUAAGUAACUGUGCACUUCGUGACGGUACCUAGUCAGAAAGCCACGGCUAACUACGUG